CUCCUACGGGAGGCAGCAGUGGGGAAUAUUGGACAAUGGGCGCAAGCCUGAUCCAGCCAUGCCGCGUGAGUGAUGAAGGCCUUAGGGUUGUAAAGCUCUUUCACCGAUGAAGAUAAUGAC
RNAcentral lists this ribosomal RNA (120 nucleotides) under uncultured bacterium. RNAcentral describes it as "partial 16S ribosomal RNA". It matches the Rfam family "Bacterial small subunit ribosomal RNA", at positions 336 to 455 of the family's 1533-position model. The record is from RNAcentral.